This is a long non-coding RNA of Neofelis nebulosa (Clouded leopard), 1425 nucleotides long. RefSeq lists it as uncharacterized. The record is from RefSeq and is a predicted model, not a curated record. NCBI's taxonomy places the organism in Eukaryota, Metazoa, Chordata, Mammalia, Carnivora, Felidae. The transcript has 4 exons.
CACUCUCUCUCUCUCUCUCUCUCUCUCAAAAAUAACUAAACAUUUAAAAGAGGCAUUUAGAAAACUGGCAUCUGGCAUGGACUGCUUCUGGGUGUCUGCAUGUCCCUAAAUGUCUGACCUUUAGUAUUUGCCUAAAUACCACUCCUUCCUACACAUACAAACAAUGAACUGUUACCGCCUUGCUUGGCUUUCUCUUAGCCUAAAACUUGUUAGUCUGGGGUCCUUUGGCUCCUUCGGAUAUUUUAGAAGAGCUGGGAUCCAUGUGCCCCUGAAAUGUUAUGCAAACUUUUGUGUGAUAUAUGUGUAUGUGCCCUUUUUUUUUUUUAAUUGGGGAGAAAUUGUCCAUGGCUUUUAUCUGAUGUUCUAUCCACAGUCUGAUUCUGUCUUCUUUAUUCCACCUAGACUUUUAAUUGCUGGUUCUUUCGCUCAGAAGAUGACCUUGCCUCCUCUUUUUGGAAUGCAGGAAUCCAUAGAAUUACCCAUGGACUGUCUUUUCACAAAACCAGUAUUUCUGGCCCCCAGGGUAUGGUCCAGUUCAACUUUCCAAAUACAUACAUAGACAGGUCAGAUCAGUCAAGCAGAGAAAAGACUGGAAGAUAGGACAAAAUCCCUUUUUACUAGCCGUUGGGAGCUGGAAUUGAAAUUACCAUCCCUCUGUGUUGAAGAAGUCCUAAGGCUGCUAUUUCUACUGGACUUGGGGCAAAAGAUGUUGUCGGGGUCUUGCCUUUGACAUGGAUUCCAGCUACAUGCUCCUCAAAGGUAAGGGCUGUAUUAUUCACCUUUUCUUGUAUUCACCCUUACAGCUGUGCAAGUCAGCCAGUGUUCAAUAAAGAAAUAUCAUACCUAAGAAUAAAAUGGCAUUGUCCUUCAUUUCCCCCCGAAACCAGUAGGUGUCGCCUUCAUCGCAGAGAAAGUAGGCCCCUCCUCUCUCCCUGCACACCUACACCCCUCCCUCUACUCUAGGAGCGCUCAGCUUCUAGGCACGGUGAUUUCUGGAGAAGAGGCUUGAAGGGGGAGAGAAACUGUGGCUCUCUGAAGGAGAAUGGGUUUAUAUGUAUCUCCUUUAUGAUAGAAAGAAGAGAGAAACUCCCCAGGGUCCCAUAGCAGUCCCCUCCCAGCAACCAUGGUAUCAUCCCUCUUAAACUAUUCUCAGGAUCAGAUUGGCACGCCAGAUACAGAGUAUCUGGGGAUAGCCUUCUAGGCUGGAGGCUUAGGAGCAGGGUGGAACCCAAGGGGGAUACAAUGGGCUUGCAUUGCUGGGGGAAUGUUCUGCUCAGUCAGUCCAUGAGCUGUUAUCAGGUGCAAUCCUGGGCUGUGCAGGGAGACAGAAGAGAAGAGGCUGUUCCUGGGCUGGGUCCCUGGAGCAGAUGGUGUGGUAGAGGCCCAGUGGGCUAUGGUGGGCCUCUGAAGACAUGGGAGGGCACA